UACAGAGGGUGCGAGCGUUGUUCGGAAUUACUGGGCGUAAAGGGCGCGUAGGCGGCCUUCUAAGUCAGACGUGAAAUCCCCCGGCUUAACCUGGGAACUGCGUCUGAUACUGGGAGGCUUGAGUAUGGGAGAGGGAUGUAGAAUUCCAGGUGUAGCGGUGAAAUGCGUAGAUAUCUGGAGGAAUACCGGUGGCGAAGGCGGCAUCCUGGACCAUAACUGACGCUGAGGCGCGAAAGCUAGGGGAGCAAACGGG
RNAcentral lists this ribosomal RNA (253 nucleotides) under uncultured bacterium. Its description in RNAcentral is "partial 16S ribosomal RNA". It matches the Rfam family "Bacterial small subunit ribosomal RNA", at positions 524 to 776 of the family's 1533-position model. The record is from RNAcentral.